RNAcentral lists this transfer-messenger RNA (360 nucleotides) under Escherichia coli. RNAcentral's name for it is "transfer-messenger RNA%2C SsrA". It matches the Rfam family "transfer-messenger RNA". From Rfam's summary of the family: Bacterial tmRNA, also known as 10Sa RNA or SsrA, is named for its dual tRNA and mRNA-like properties. Its role is to liberate the mRNA from a stalled ribosome. The record is from RNAcentral. Lineage: Bacteria; Pseudomonadati; Pseudomonadota; Gammaproteobacteria; Enterobacterales; Enterobacteriaceae. RNAcentral also lists the same sequence under 1 other name.
GGGGCUGAUUCUGGAUUCGACGGGAUUUGCGAAACCCAAGGUGCAUGCCGAGGGGCGGUUGGCCUCGUAAAAAGCCGCAAAAAAUAGUCGCAAACGACGAAAACUACGCUUUAGCAGCUUAAUAACCUGCUUAGAGCCCUCUCUCCCUAGCCUCCGCUCUUAGGACGGGGAUCAAGAGAGGUCAAACCCAAAAGAGAUCGCGUGGAAGCCCUGCCUGGGGUUGAAGCGUUAAAACUUAAUCAGGCUAGUUUGUUAGUGGCGUGUCCGUCCGCAGCUGGCAAGCGAAUGUAAAGACUGACUAAGCAUGUAGUACCGAGGAUGUAGGAAUUUCGGACGCGGGUUCAACUCCCGCCAGCUCCA